RNAcentral lists this long non-coding RNA (815 nucleotides) under Ananas comosus (pineapple). RNAcentral's name for it is "long non-coding RNA (ACOM_LNC018858)". Lineage: Eukaryota; Viridiplantae; Streptophyta; Magnoliopsida; Poales; Bromeliaceae. The record is from RNAcentral.
AUUCCUAUGGUUUCCUGCUUUUUUUGCUUUAAUACUCUUAGAGUUUAAAAAAUAUCACUUUUCUGCUUUAUAGUUUUAUUUUUCUCUUUUCGUUAUUUUCUACAUUAAUAUUUCCAUUAAAUCAGCGACAAAAUUAAAAUCACACGAUACUAAAAUAAAAAUUCGGUAAAUCAUAUGGUACUAAAGUAAUUAUUAGUUAAAUCAUAGGUGAGAUAGAAAGUUAAUGGAGGUACUGACGGAAAAAGAAAAAUAAAAUAACAAAAUACUAAAAUGAUACACUUUAAACCGUAUAGUAUUAAAAUAAAAAAACACAAAAAUACGGGGCGGUAUUGGAAGUUUAUCCUAUAAUAAUUUUGAUGAUAAGUGUCAAAUUUAAAUCAGACUAAUAUAUAAACUUUCUAAAUUAAAUAUAAAAUCUUUGGAGUUCCCCUAACAAUUAAUAUUUGGGUAAUGCUUGAGGCGUGAGUGGCAUGAAAAUGAGAAAUAAAAUUAGAUUGUAUUAGAAUUAAUAAAAAAAAUAGAAUGACGAAUUAUCCAACAAUAUUUGGUUUAUUUUUAAAAUAGAAAUUGAAAUGAAUAAUUAGGACACUCAGGAUUUUGAGAGAAAAAAUUUUAGCUAACGGAGAGGAAAGUGACAAAUGGAGAGGAGGGAAGUGUUUGUGAGAGAGAAUUUUGAGCAAUUUAUUCUAAAAUAAAAUAGUUAAAUUCAGGAAUCAAAAUCGGAUUUGGUUAUAAAUGAAUUAUAUCAUUUUCAUUUCAGAAUGAAAUAAAAAUCAAAUUUUGAUUCUUAUAAAAUAAAUAAUAAUUUUAAAAUG